UGAAUACGAGACGCUAAGGCGUCGAAGUAGUGUAUGUCAUACUUCCAAGAAAAGCUUGCACUGUCAUAAAUAGAAAAUGCCUGUACCAUAACCGACACAGGUGGGUAGGUAGAGUAUACUAAGGGGCGCGAGAUAACUCUCUCUAAGGAACUCGGCAAAAUGACUCCGUAACUUCGGGAGAAGGAGUGCCUUAUUUUUAAGGUUGCAAUAACAAGAUCCAAGCAACUGUUUAUCAAAAACACAGGUCUCCGCUAAGUCGUAAGACGAUGUAUGGGGGCUGACGCCUGCCCAGUGCCAGAAGGUUAAAGAAGUUGGUUAGCAUUAGCGAAGCUGAUAACUGAAGCCCUGGUGAACGGCGGCCGUAACAAUAACGGUCCUAAGGUAGCGAAAUUCCUUGUCGGGUAAGUUCCGACCCGCACGAAAGGCGUAAUGAUUUGGAUACUGUCUCGGAGAGGGGCUCGGUGAAAUAGACUUGUCUGUGAAGAUGCGGACUACCUGCACCUGGACAGAAAGACCCUAUGAAGCUUUACUGUAACCUGAAAUUGAAAUUGGACUUUAGUCGCGCAGCAUAGGUGGGAGGCGUUGAUGAUGUUCUUGCGGGAACAUUGGAGCUAUCAGUGAGAUACCACUCUUCUAAUGUUAGAUUUCUAACUUUGAACCAUUAUCUGGUCAGAGAACAGUUUCAGGCGGGCAGUUUGACUGGGGCGGUCGCCUCCCAAAUGGUAACGGAGGCGUACAAAGGUUUCCUCUGAACGGAUAGAAAUCGUAUCUAGAGUGUAAAGGCAUAAGGAAGCUUGACUGUGAGACCUACAAGUCGAGCAGGGACGAAAGUCGGUCUUAGUGAUCUGACGGUACUGAGUGGAAAGGCCGUCACUCAACGGAUAAAAGUUACUCUAAGGAUAACAGGCUGAUCUCCCCCAAGAGUUCACAUCGACGGGGAGGUUUGGCACCUCGAUGUCGGCUCAUCGCAUCCUGGGGCGGUAGUACGUCCCAAGGGUUGGGCUGUUCGCCCAUGAAAGCGGUACGCGAGCUGGGUUCAGAACGUCGUGAGACAGUUCGGUCCAUAUCCGGUGUAGGCGUUAGAAUAUUGAGAGGAGCCUUCUCUAGUACGAGAGGACCGAGAAGGACAUACCUCUGGUGUACCAGUUAUCGUGCCAACGGUAAACGCUGGGUAGCUAUGUAUGGAGUGGAUAACCGCUGAAAGCAUCUAAGUGGGAAGCCCACCUCAAGAUGAGUAUUCUC
Molecule: ribosomal RNA, 1242 nt
Filed under: metagenome
Description: bacterial LSU rRNA
Rfam family: Bacterial large subunit ribosomal RNA
Source: RNAcentral